ACUGCUAUUUGGGUGAGGAUAAGCCAUGCGAGUUGUAUGGGAUACCUAAAAUUCCCAUAGCAAACUGCUUAGUAACACAUGAUCAACUUACCCUAUGGAGAAAAAUAACCUCGGGAAACUGAGGAUAAUGUUUCAUAGUUGAAUAGGCUUGGAAAAGUUUUUCAAUGAAAGGAAUAAGGUAAAUGGAUUUUAUUUGCCAUAGGAUAGGAUCGUGGUCGAUUAUGGUAGUUGGUGAGAUAACGGCUCACCAAGCCGAUAAUCGAUAGGGGCCGUGAGAGCGGGAGCCCCAAGAUGGGUACUGAGACAGCGACCCAGGCCUUACGAGGCGCAGCAGGCGCGAGACCUCCGCAAUACACGAAAGUGUGACGGGGUUACCCAAAGUGUUCUCUUAAGAACUGUGGCAGGUGAGUAAUGUCCCCUGCUAGAAAGGAGAGGGCAAGGCUGGUGCCAGCCGCCGCGGUAAAACCAGCUCUUCAAGUGGCCGGGAUAAUUAUUGGGCUUAAAGUGUCCGUAGCCGGUUUAGUAAGUUCCUGGUAAAAUCGGGUAGCUUAACUAUCUGUAUGCUAGGAAUACUGCUAUACUAGAGGGCGGGAGAGGUCUGAGGUACUACAGGGGUAGGGGUGAAAUCUUAUAAUCCUUGUAGGACCACCAGUGGCGAAGGCGUCAGACUGGAACGCGCCUGACGGUGAGGGACGAAAGCCAGGGGAGCGAACCGGAUUAGAUACCCGGGUAGUCCUGGCCGUAAACGAUGCAUACUAGGUGAUGGUACGGCCAUGAGCCGUAUCAGUGCCGUAGGGAAACCGUUAAGUGUGCCGCCUGGGAAGUACGGUCGCAAGGCUAAAACUUAAAGGAAUUGGCGGGGGAGCACCACAAGGGGUGAAGCCUGCGGUUCAAUUGGACCCAACGCCGGGAAACUUACCAGGGGAGACAGCAGAAUGAAGGUCAGGUUGACGACCUUACCUGAUGAGCUGAGAGGAGGUGCAUGGCCGUCGCCAGUUCGUGCUGUGAGGUAUCCUGUUAAGUCAGGCAACGAACGAGAUCCGCACCUUUAUUUGCCAACAAGAAGUUACGACUUCGUUGGGAACACUAAAGGGACCGCCGUCGAUAAGACGGAGGAAGGAGCGGGCAAAGGCAGGUCAGUAUGCCCCGAAACCCCUGGGCUACACGCGGGCUGCAAUGGUAUGAACAAUGGGCUGUAACUCCGAAAGGAGAAACCAAUCCCGAAAUCAUAUCACAGUGGGGAUUGUUGGCUGUAACCCGCCGACAUGAACGUGGAAUCCCUAGUAAUCGUGUGCCAUCAUCGCACGGUGAAUACGUCUCUGCUCCUUGCACACACCGCCCGUCGCUCCAUCCGAGUGUACUAAAAAUGAGGUUUGGUCAGACUGGUCAUAUCGAGUUUCUAGUAUGCGAGGAGGGAGAAGUCGUAACAAGGUA
Molecule: ribosomal RNA, 1434 nt
Filed under: metagenome
Description: bacterial SSU rRNA
Rfam family: Archaeal small subunit ribosomal RNA
Source: RNAcentral